UGCUAAUACCGGAUAACAACAGAUGAUGCCUAUCAACUGUUUAAAAGAUGGUUCUGCUAUCACUCUUGGAUGGACCUGCGGUGCAUUAGCUAGUUGGUAGGGUAACGGCCUACCAAGGCGAUGAUGCAUAGCCGAGUUGAGAGACUGAUCGGCCACAUUGGGACUGAGACACGGCCCAAACUCCUACGGGAGGCAGCAGGG
RNAcentral lists this ribosomal RNA (201 nucleotides) under uncultured Lactobacillus sp. RNAcentral describes it as "partial 16S ribosomal RNA". It matches the Rfam family "Bacterial small subunit ribosomal RNA", at positions 161 to 354 of the family's 1533-position model. Lineage: Bacteria; Bacillati; Bacillota; Bacilli; Lactobacillales; Lactobacillaceae. The record is from RNAcentral.